UUGGGAGCUCUCCCAUAUGGUCGACCUGCAGGCGGCCGCGAAUUCACUAGUGAUUCGUAUUACCGCGGCUGCUGGCACGGAGUUAGCCGGAGCUUAUUCUCCCGGUACUGUCAUUAUCAUCCCGGGUAAAAGAGCUUUACAACCCUAAGGCCUUCAUCACUCACGCGGCAUUGCUGGAUCAGGCUUUCGCCCAUUGUCCAAUAUUCCCCACUGCUGCCUCCCGUAGGAGUCUGGGCCGUGUCCCAGUCCCAGUGUGGCUGAUCAUCCUCUCAGACCAGCUAAGGAUCGUCGCCUUGGUGCGCCUUUACCACACCAACUAGCUAAUCCUACGCGGGCUCAUCCCUCGGCGAUAAAUCUUUGGACUUACGUCGUCAUCCGGUAUUAGCAGUCAUUUCUAACUGUUAUUCCGAACCAAGGGGCAGAUUCCCACGCGUUACGCACCCGUGCGCCACUAAGGCCGAAGCCUUCGUUCGACUUGCAUGUGUUAGGCAUGCCGCCAGCGUUCGUUCUGAGCCAUGAUCAAACUCUAAUCGAAUUCCCGCGGCCGCCAUGGCGGCCGG
RNAcentral lists this ribosomal RNA (560 nucleotides) under uncultured Alphaproteobacteria bacterium. RNAcentral describes it as "partial 16S ribosomal RNA". Lineage: Bacteria; Pseudomonadati; Pseudomonadota; Alphaproteobacteria. The record is from RNAcentral.